Molecule: ribosomal RNA, 253 nt
Filed under: uncultured bacterium
Lineage: Bacteria
Description: partial 16S ribosomal RNA
Rfam family: Bacterial small subunit ribosomal RNA
Source: RNAcentral
UACGUAGGUGGCAAGCGUUGUCCGGAUUUACUGGGCGUAAAGAGCGCGCAGGCGGUCGUUCAAGUCGCGUGUGAAAGCCCCCGGCUCAACCGGGGAAGGUGACUGCAAACUGGGCUUCUUGAGGGCGAUAGGGGAGAGCGGAAUUCCUGGUGUAGCGGUGAAAUGCGUAGAGAUCAGGAGGAACACCAGUGGCGAAGGCGAGUCUCUGGGAUGAUGCUGACGCUGAGGCGCGAAAGCCAGGGGAGCAAACGGG